This 299-nucleotide long non-coding RNA is filed under the name Setaria viridis. Its description in RNAcentral is "long non-coding RNA (SVIR_LNC009913)". The record is from RNAcentral. Lineage: Eukaryota; Viridiplantae; Streptophyta; Magnoliopsida; Poales; Poaceae.
CGACACGAGUUUGCACCGUAUCAAGAACAACGUAGAUGAAUCUUGUAGAAAACCCUAGAUGACGGCGUUGAGUCAACCACAAUAAGAUAAUAGGACCGUAAAUUCUUUAAGCAUAACUCCAAAAGAGUACAAGUGAUUAUCACUCACUCACAACCCUACUUGACCCUCUAGGAUCAUUUGAUUCUUGCUCUAUACAAGAAUCUAGUGCUAUAGAACUGUCUAGCCUAUCCCUCUUGAGCGCUCCUAAUUGCCUCUCACAAGCUUUGGAUGAGACCUUGGUGUUUGCCUUUGGCUUGAUU